CAUUGGGUUUAGAGAUAGGACCAUCUACUUGUUAUUCACGGUUUGUGUCAUUGGGUAGAUGGGGUGCUAUUCUUGUAUGCAUAGGUUGGCACUUACCUUUAGCAUUCUUCUAAAGCUCAGUCCUUUUUCAUUGAGAGUCCCCUGCUAUUAAAACCUGAACCACUUAACA
RNAcentral lists this small RNA (169 nucleotides) under Arabidopsis thaliana (thale cress). RNAcentral's name for it is "ATSL267620". The record is from RNAcentral. Lineage: Eukaryota; Viridiplantae; Streptophyta; Magnoliopsida; Brassicales; Brassicaceae.